Molecule: ribosomal RNA, 492 nt
Filed under: uncultured bacterium
Lineage: Bacteria
Description: partial 16S ribosomal RNA
Rfam family: Bacterial small subunit ribosomal RNA
Source: RNAcentral
AGUGAACGCUGGCGGUAGGCCUAACACAUGCAAGUCGAACGGCAGCACAGUAAGAGCUUGCUCUUACGGGUGGCGAGUGGCGGACGGGUGAGGAAUACAUCGGAAUCUACUUUUUCGUGGGGGAUAACGUAGGGAAACUUACGCUAAUACCGCAUACGACCUACGGGUGAAAGCAGGGGAUCUUCGGACCUUGCGCGAUUGAAUGAGCCGAUGUCGGAUUAGCUAGUUGGCGGGGUAAAGGCCCACCAAGGCGACGAUCCGUAGCUGGUCUGAGAGGCUGUAGCGCGACAGGGGAGGUGAGCCGCCACCCUGGCACCUAGGGGAGGCACAAGUGGCGAAUGGUGGACAAUGGGGGGAAUCCUGAUCCAGCGGUACCAGGCGGGUGCAGAAGGCCUUCGGGUUGUAAAGCCGUUUUGUUGGGGAAGAACGGCUGCAGGUUAGUACCACGCUUGUGUGACGGUAGCCAGUAAAUAAGCACCGGCUAACUACGUG